Molecule: ribosomal RNA, 252 nt
Filed under: Polycera alabe
Lineage: Eukaryota; Metazoa; Mollusca; Gastropoda; Nudibranchia; Polyceridae
Description: partial 16S ribosomal RNA
Source: RNAcentral
UAAAGACGAGAAGACCCUUAGAGUUUUUCUAAAGUUGGGAUUAAAUUUCUCAUAACAGUUUAGUUGGGGCAACAUAGGAGCAGAAUAAAUAUUUAAUCUCCUGAAAAUAAUUAAUCGAUUAUUUUAGUAUUGAAUAAACUACCUUAGGGAUAACAGCAUAAUUUUACUAUUAAGUUUGUGACCUCGAUGUUGGACUGGGAAACUUAAAGGUUAGCCACCUUUAAGGUGAGUUCUGUUCGAACUAUUAUUCCC